AAAACUAAAAUCACAUUAAUAUAAAUUUUAUAAAAAAUUUUCAAAUAUUUUAUAAAUAUAUUUUAAUAUCUUUUUUCCGAUGAAAUUAAAAUUAAAAAAAAAAUCGUAUGAAAAGAAAUUCAAAAACUAGUACAUCAUGAAAACUCUUCAAAUAAUAAUAAUUAAAAAAAAAAAAGAGUAGGAAAGGAGUAAAAGGGGCCAUAAUAUCGAUAGAGUAUGAUUAUUAAAUUAGUGUAAGACCAUACCUCAAUCUCGAUGAACUCCAAAAGAAAUAACAAAACAAAGAAACAAGGAAACAAAAGAAGAGUAAUGGCAGCCAUGUGUACAGCUGCGCCCAUCACACCGUAUGCUUUAGGUUAGCUUCCACCCAUACUUUUAAUAAUACACACACACUUGCUGCUUCUGUGUCUUCUUUCCUGUGAUCACUGCAUAUGUCUUUUCAUUCCCCUACUUCCUUUCCUAUCCUAUCCUAUUCUUUUCCAUUUAGGAUUUCCCUGUUUCGCAUUUUUCCAUCGCAGCAGCUACCGGUAAUUAUCUCCACUGAUUCACUACGAAGUUUUUGGGAAGUUGUAAAGAGAAGAUGGUAUUGGUGGUGGCGCAAAUGGGUCUGCCUCCAUGUGGCACCAUCAUAGUGGAGGGGCCCUGUGCUUCCUCGCCCAUCCAUCUAUGUUUCUUGAUUUCUAGAACUUGCCAUUUCGAGACAUUGAAACUACUGUUAUUUAUUCUGUUGACUGCCUGCUUCUCAAGUUGGAAAGUACUCGAUAGCUAUAGUAAAAGACAGGAUCCCGUGCAUUUGUUAAACUAAAUUUUGAGCUUUGUAUUUGCUUGAGAUUUCUGUGAAUGAUUUAAUAUUGUUAAUAUUAUUGCAGCAAAUUAAGUUUGAAGGCUUCAA
Ricinus communis (castor bean) is the source of this 892-nucleotide long non-coding RNA. RefSeq lists it as uncharacterized. Lineage: Eukaryota; Viridiplantae; Streptophyta; Magnoliopsida; Malpighiales; Euphorbiaceae. The record is from RefSeq and is a predicted model, not a curated record. The transcript is spliced from 2 exons.